GUUUCUGGCCCUGCCAGUGUCUCCGCCGGUUGAAAGCGCGUGUCUGCGUCGGGUUCUGUUGGAGUGCGUUCGGUGCGCCGUGGGUCCGCGCUGCUUCCACCCAACUUCCUGUUAGUUUCUCUCCUGUCACAAUGGCAUGAUCUCGGCUCACUGCGACCUCUGCUUCCUGGGUUCAAGGAUUCUCCUGCCUCAGCCUCCCAAGUAGCUGGGAUUACAGUUUCCAUCAUUAUCUUCUAUGGAGUUCUUCAUUCCCACAUCUGUGGACCUUAAAAUCCUACCGUUGAGUGCCUGCCUUGGAUCAGCAGUCAGUUCGUUACCUUGGUUCUCAGACGAUGCUUGCAACAACGCCAUGCGAUUCGCCCACUCUUGGAGAAAAUAAGAGAAGUAUCCCUGAAGGAUGAAAUAUCCUCGAAUAUGAAAAGGUCUGCUCUCUGAAGACCAACUGUCUCAGUCUGCUUUUUGCUGCUGUAACAGAAUACCACAGACUUGGCAGAGAAGCCUUCAGAGAAGGAUCCUGACUCGGUGGUUUGUGCAGUGACAUUUGGCAGUGUUUUCUCGGCAAGCGAGUCUUUGAGGCUGCCCUCAUGCUGCUCAGUGGGCACACCAAGAACAAGAGCUGGCCAGGGAUGACGGACGCAUCUAGGCCUUCUCGGCCUAAGGGUUACAUUAGUUAUACACUCUGGAGGUGACUUGACCUGUCAUUGUGAACAAUUAUUGCUCUUGGACGACCCAGGACAUAGGCCAGCCAGUACGUACCCCAGUGUGUUGGAGAAUCGCGCUCGGCUUCUUCCUCUGUGCUGAGUCAUGAAAGUUGCCGGAGCAGG
This 824-nucleotide long non-coding RNA is filed under the name Homo sapiens (human). RNAcentral describes it as "non-protein coding LINC01128:71". Lineage: Eukaryota; Metazoa; Chordata; Mammalia; Primates; Hominidae. The record is from RNAcentral.